This 321-nucleotide ribosomal RNA is filed under the name Triticum aestivum (bread wheat). RNAcentral describes it as "partial small subunit ribosomal RNA". Lineage: Eukaryota; Viridiplantae; Streptophyta; Magnoliopsida; Poales; Poaceae. The record is from RNAcentral.
AUGAAAGAGACAAGUAUCGAGCUAAAAAUGUACAGCGUACUUGGGAAUCAGCAGACCGUACGGCGAGCUCCCCAAUUCCUAUUUCUUGGCUUGUUCAGUCAUGGUAGAAACCGGCGGGAACCGUGCUUAUUAUGUGACUAUAGUAGGGCGGUUGGGAUGUGUGUUGGCUGCUCUCUUCAUCGCAGUCUUUAUGGCUCCAACAAUGCCAUCACCGCCAAGUACUUCACAUUUGACAGUUGUGAGGCUCGGGAGGUUCUCUAUUCCAAAGUCCAGACCGUCAGCUUCAACCUCGUACAAACUCUUAAGCACAAGUUUUUCUAG